GUGCUGUCCGGCUAGACAGUAGAUGGGGAAGUUACAGUUUUAUUGGAAUUUGCGACUUUCUGAAAAAAAAGAGAGCCAAAGUCACAUAUAAAAGCGGACAUGGCAACCCUGUCAAAAAAGAGAAAAGUAUUGGACCACUUUACCUUAAAGUAUUCAACGAAAACUGAUGGUUGCAAAAGUUACAGGGCAGAACUCUCAUGACACUGGAGCCUGACUGCAAAGCUUGUGCAUUUAAAGAGAAAACACGUUGUAGCCUAAAUGACAGAAGAUGAAGAGUGCCCUGCAUGAUGCCGAGGUUACUCUUCAGACAGUCACAGAAGAGGUGGUGGUCCCAUCCACCAAUGGGGUGUCAGAUGAGAAGGAAGUGUUGGAACACAAUGGUACAGAACGAUCCGUGAGUCCACCGGGAAGAGACAAAGGUUCUCCAGAAUUGGCUUUUUGUCAUUUGGAAGAAGAGGAGGAGG
Long non-coding RNA from Esox lucius (northern pike), 464 nucleotides. The record is from Ensembl. NCBI's taxonomy places the organism in Eukaryota, Metazoa, Chordata, Actinopteri, Esociformes, Esocidae.